CAUCUACCCCUCAUGUCCGGUUCUGGGAGGAAUCUCAGAAGCAAUAGGGAAUGCAGUGCGGUGUCUUGACGCCAAUUCUGCAACUGCCCCCGCAACUGUAGGCGGAGAGCACGGCUGAUACAUGCCACUGGGAGUGCCCGGGAAGGCCAGCCUGAGUGUUUUGACCCGCAAGUCAGGAGACCUGCCAGACAUGCGCCCUCGGA
Molecule: non-coding RNA, 203 nt
Filed under: Shimia marina
Lineage: Bacteria; Pseudomonadati; Pseudomonadota; Alphaproteobacteria; Rhodobacterales; Roseobacteraceae
Source: RNAcentral